This 1032-nucleotide long non-coding RNA is filed under the name Limulus polyphemus (Atlantic horseshoe crab). RNAcentral describes it as "uncharacterized LOC106462086, transcript variant X1". The record is from RNAcentral. Lineage: Eukaryota; Metazoa; Arthropoda; Merostomata; Xiphosura; Limulidae.
UGUCGUAACAUUACUUAUAAGCAUAAUGAAAUAUAUAAUACACGUAAUGAAAGAAUAUACUGCAAGUUGAUUAAUUAGCAAGUUAAGAUUGCAGUAUGAUUGGAAAAGACCGACUGCUUGGGGUUUUACUUGUGAUAUUAGGAACCAUCAUACUGAUGUAUUUCACUGUAUGGCUUCUGCUAUUGCCAUUCUUUGAUCCUGAACAUAGAAUCCACAUUUUAUUUCCUCCAGUCCAAUUGGGAUUGGCUUUGGCAGUUUCAAGUGGUGCUUUAUUUUUUGGAAGCCUGGGAAUUUAUGGUUACCUACACAGGUUGGGAAGAAAAAUUCCUUAAGAAAAGAUCAUUCCAUACUUUUCAACCAUCUAAUGUUUGGACAUGUCAGAAGCAAACCAUAUGUAGCUCUGGCAUCCAGCCAUCAUCCCAAUGAGAAAACCUGCCUCCGUUGUCAUUCUGAGAAAAGAAAGGUGAGCAAGUCUGUCAACCACUUGAAAUUGUGUCUGGUUCUACUGUCAAAAUAAUAAAUCCCAAACUGUUGUAUCGAUCUGGUGAGACCAUGUCUCUAUAAUGUCCUAAAGGCCAACAAUUAGAAAAUGGAAUCUCCAUUGUAGUAUGUUUAUCACCCACCUGAUCAGAGAGCACUCUACCUAAGUGAAUCAGUGCAGAAGAUGUUCCUGGUGGUUCUGUGACAACCUAAUGGUUGUCCAAUAAAGAAUUAGUGUAUAAUAUGGAUUAAUUUUUACAAUGUAUAUUUAAUUCAUGUCCAACUUUGCCAUCGAUCUGACAAAUGUUUGUUAUUGAAUGGAAAAUUUCCCUUGUGUGUUAUUAUAAUAUCAAACUUUUCACUUUGUUAAAAUGUAUAAUUCUUGUCUUAUUCAACUGAGCAUAGUUACUUUUUCUCUGUGUAAUUGUGUGUAAAAAUCCUCUUAGUUUUUAAUGAGAUAUUACAAUUUGUAUAUAAAGACAUAACAGCAAAGGUAUAUUUCUGUUGAACUAUUUUGGAUUAAUAAAUACAAGUUUCAUUUGUGUUUGUAGA